UCAUAGAAUUUUUUUAAAUUCAUGAUGUCGUAAGGGAAAAUAAUGAUAAUACCUUACUAUGAGUGUCGUCCAAAACUGGUGCCAGAAGACUCGGUAAGACCAGAGACGCAAACGUUAAUCAUCAUAAACAGGCGUAAAGGGUUUGUAGGCAGCUUUUAUAAGGUUAUGAUUGCACAAAAAGAAAGGGUAAUCUACAUUGAAAGCUAGAAUCAAAAAGAGGUUAUAGUGUAUAACGCCUAGAGGAGGGCUGAUAUCCAUAGAUCCUAGGCAGAAUACUCAGGGCGAAGGCCACUCUCCACUAAUGAUUGACGCUGAGAAACGAAGGUUAGGGUAGGAAAUAGGAUUAGAUACCCCGGUACUCCUUUCUGUAAACGAUGAAUGGUAGUCAUUAGUUUAAUUUAAAUAACUAGAGGCGAAGUUAACACAAUAACCAUUCCGCCUUGUGAGUACUACUGCAAAGUAGAAAACAAAAAAAUUAGUCGGUCUCGAAGCAAACGGAGUGAAGCAUGUUAUUUA
Molecule: ribosomal RNA, 516 nt
Filed under: Ganoderma gibbosum
Lineage: Eukaryota; Fungi; Basidiomycota; Agaricomycetes; Polyporales; Polyporaceae
Also listed under: 1 other name
Description: SSU rRNA
Rfam family: Bacterial small subunit ribosomal RNA
Source: RNAcentral